This 253-nucleotide ribosomal RNA is filed under the name uncultured bacterium. Its description in RNAcentral is "partial 16S ribosomal RNA". It matches the Rfam family "Bacterial small subunit ribosomal RNA", at positions 524 to 776 of the family's 1533-position model. The record is from RNAcentral.
UACGUAGGGUGCAAGCGUUAUUCGGAAUUACUGGGCGUAAAGCGCGCGUAGGCGGCUUCGAAAGUCAGAGGUGAAAGCCCGGGGCUCAACCCCGGAACUGCCUUUGAGACUGCGUCGCUAGAAUCCAGGAGAGGUGAGUGGAAUUCCGAGUGUAGAGGUGAAAUUCGUAGAUAUUCGGAAGAACACCAGUGGCGAAGGCGGCUCACUGGACUGGAAUUGACGCUGAGGUGCGAAAGCGUGGGGAGCAAACAGG